RNAcentral lists this ribosomal RNA (163 nucleotides) under Aspergillaceae sp. Its description in RNAcentral is "partial large subunit ribosomal RNA". It matches the Rfam family "Eukaryotic large subunit ribosomal RNA", at positions 99 to 261 of the family's 3401-position model. Lineage: Eukaryota; Fungi; Ascomycota; Eurotiomycetes; Eurotiales; Aspergillaceae. The record is from RNAcentral.
CGGCAAGAGCUCAAAUUUGAAAGCUGGCUCCUUCGGGGUCCGCAUUGUAAUUUGCAGAGGAUGCUUCGGGAGUGGCCCCCAUCUAAGUGCCCUGGAACGGGCCGUCAUAGAGGGUGAGAGCCCCGUCUGGUCGGAUACCGCGUCUCUGUAAAGCUCCUUCGAC